This 1095-nucleotide ribosomal RNA is filed under the name Triticum aestivum (bread wheat). RNAcentral's name for it is "partial small subunit ribosomal RNA". Lineage: Eukaryota; Viridiplantae; Streptophyta; Magnoliopsida; Poales; Poaceae. The record is from RNAcentral.
AUGACACGUUUUGGUUUCGAUCCCCAGUGGGUCUCGAUGAUAAUGAGAUGUGUCACCUCAGCUCGUUUUUCUGUAAAAUUAAAUGGUGGGCUAUCCAGGAGCUUUAUACCCUCUCGAGGUUUAAGACAGGGGGACCCGUUGUCACCGUAUUUGUUUCUCUUCUGUGUGGAGGGGUUUUCAGCUCUUUUCAAGAAGGCUCAGAAUGACAAACAGCUAUCGGGGAUGAAGUUUGGGACCACUGGCCCCCAUGUAACUCACCUUUUGUUUGCAGAUGAUAGUAUAGUUUUCCUUGAGGGAACGAAGGAGAAUAUGGAGACUCUAAAACAAAUUCUUGAGAAGUAUGAAAAAGCGUCCGGACAAAAGGUAAACUUGCAGAAGUCCUCGAUCUUUUUUGGAAAAGGAAGCCAAGAUGUGAUGAAGGAACAGAUGAAGCAUAUAGUGGGGAUUCAGUCAGAAGCCCUUAGUGAACAGUAUUUGGGCCUCCCAACACUGGUUGGCAGGUCCAAGGACGGCACUUUUAAACAUGUGACCGAGUGCGCAAAGGGUAAAGUGUGUGAAUGGAAGGGCCAAGGAUUAUCCAAAGCAGCGAGAGAAGUUCUCGUCAAAUCUGUGUUGCAAGCGACACCGACCUACACCAUGAGUUGUUUUCACCUCUUGAAGAAGAUGUGCCGGAGCCUGACUUCAAUCUCGUCUAAAUUCUGGUGGGGUGCAAUGAAUGGUGAGAGAAGGGUCCAUUGGGUCGCUUGGCAGAAGAUGUGUGCGAGCAAGAGGGAUGGGGGCAUGGGAUUUCGUGACCCCGAGGCCUUCAACCAAGCGUUGUUGGCGAAACAAGCGUGGCGUAUUCUACAAGUCCCAACUUCUCUAUGUGCGAGAGUGCUUAAAGCAAGGUACUUUAAAGAUGACUCAAUUCUUUCCGCUUCAUGUCCUGCUUCGGGCUCUUUCACCUUCAGGAGCAUUUUGCAUGGCCGGAAUUUGCUAAGGGAGGGCCUGAUUUGGAGAGUAGGGUCGGGGUCAAUAUUAACAUCCAUCACGACUCGUGGAUCCCUCGGAGCGGGAGCACUAAACCCCUCGGUCAAGUAUACAUGCAGGGCAUAA